This 468-nucleotide ribosomal RNA is filed under the name uncultured bacterium. RNAcentral describes it as "partial 16S ribosomal RNA". It matches the Rfam family "Bacterial small subunit ribosomal RNA", at positions 28 to 508 of the family's 1533-position model. The record is from RNAcentral.
GAUGAACGCUGGCGGCGUGCUUAACACAUGCAAGUCGAACGGAAAGGCCCAAGCUUGCUUGGGUACUCGAGUGGCGAACGGGUGAGUAACACGUGGGUGAUCUGCCCUGCACUUCGGGAUAAGCCUGGGAAACUGGGUCUAAUACCGGAUAGGACGAUGGUUUGGAUGCCAUUGUGGAAAGUUUUUUCGGUGUGGGAUGAGCUCGCGGCCUAUCAGCUUGUUGGUGGGGUAAUGGCCUACCAAGGCGUCGACGGGUAGCCGGCCUGAGAGGGUGUACGGCCACAUUGGGACGGAGAUACGGCCCAGACUCCUACGGGAGGCAGCAGUGGGGAAUAUUGCACAAUGGGCGCAAGCCUGAUGCAGCGACGCCGCGUGGGGGAUGACGGCCUUCGGGUUGUAAACUCCUUUCGCUAGGGACGAAGCGUUUUGUGACGGUACCUGGAGAAGAAGCACCGGCUAACUACGUGC